Molecule: long non-coding RNA, 365 nt
Organism: Zonotrichia leucophrys gambelii
Lineage: Eukaryota; Metazoa; Chordata; Aves; Passeriformes; Passerellidae
Exons: 3
Source: RefSeq, a predicted model, not a curated record
GCAGAGAAUGGAGCAGAACAACACUGCAGCGAAGAUUACAACAACUGGUGACCCCGUGUGAUGAAGAAAACACAACCAAACAUUGAAAGAAGCCAGGCCCUGUGGGUGCUGAGGCUGCUCUGGGCUCUGCCAGGGCUCUGCUGGGCUCAGCCCUGGGCCCAGCUGGGCUGGCUCUGCCCUCACAUUGCUCUGACAGCUCUGCAUCAGACGAACCCAUUGUGGGCACAGCGCCUGAGCUUUCUGCUUUGGCAGCAGUGCCACGAGUGGGCCAAAGCUGGCGAGUGGGCCGUGUUCCUGAGGCAGUGCAGUCUGGAGCUGGUGGAUGGAGAAUUGCCCUUCUGCACUGCCAAACCAGAGCAAAAUGC